RNAcentral lists this ribosomal RNA (519 nucleotides) under Mycobacterium sp. N1873C. RNAcentral's name for it is "bacterial SSU rRNA". It matches the Rfam family "Bacterial small subunit ribosomal RNA", at positions 1 to 522 of the family's 1533-position model. Lineage: Bacteria; Bacillati; Actinomycetota; Actinomycetes; Mycobacteriales; Mycobacteriaceae. The record is from RNAcentral.
UGGAGAGUUUGAUCCUGGCUCAGGACGAACGCUGGCGCGCUGUGCUUAACACAUGCAAGUCGAACGGAAAGGCCUCUUCGGAGGUACUCGAGUGGCGAACGGGUGAGUAACACGUGGGCAAUCUGCCCUGCACUUCGGGAUAAGCCUGGGAAACUGGGUCUAAUACCGGAUAGGACCUCAAGACGCAUGUCUUCUGGUGGAAAGCUUUUGCGGUGUGGGAUGGGCCCGCGGCCUAUCAGCUUGUUGGUGGGGUGACGGCCUACCAAGGCGACGACGGGUAGCCGGCCUGAGAGGGUGUCCGGCCACACUGGGACUGAGAUACGGCCCACGACUCCUACGGGAGGCAGCAGUGGGGAAUAUUGCACAAUGGGCGCAAGCCUGAUGCAGCGACGGCCGCGUGGGGGAUGACGGCCUUCGGGUUGUAAACCUCUUUCACCAUCCACGAAGGUCCGGGUUUUCUCGGAUUGACGGUAUGGUGGAGAAGAAGCACCGGCCAACUACGUGCCAGCAGCCGCGGUA